This is a long non-coding RNA of Nothoprocta perdicaria, 2581 nucleotides long. RefSeq lists it as uncharacterized. The transcript is spliced from 2 exons. NCBI's taxonomy places the organism in Eukaryota, Metazoa, Chordata, Aves, Tinamiformes, Tinamidae. The record is from RefSeq and is a predicted model, not a curated record.
CUGACUGGAGGUUCUUUUGCUUUCAAGAUUCUUGGACWGGGGAGAGGCUGACGAGAAAUUACUUUGAGGAGAGGGCGAUAGACCCAUCCCAGCCGGGACAAGCCUGCAGUUUUUCCAGCUCCCCUUGGUCCCRCAGGAUCUUGGAGCGUGGGCGGGAGCUGCUGCUCCAAAACCUGCGGUUCCAGCAGUGACCAGCGGCCUCCUCUUGGCCACCAUUUUUCCUGGAUACUGAGCCAAGCACUUCUGAGUCCGCAGCUCAUGAGCUCAGAAGGAUGGAAAAAGCAGCCAGAAGCAGCCUGUCACAACAAGAAUAAUUGCUCAAAGUCAAGUCUGCUGCCAGAAGGCCAUCCCAAGAAGAAUGGCUUUCGAGAGCAGGUAGAGGGCCAGACAAGUAGGCCAUGCUGACCCUAUAGCCUCUUAUAGGCUGAGCAUACCCAGUGCUAGAGUAAGUGCUCAUUUUAUUGGCAGUCACAUUUAGGACUUAUUCCUAAAGCAUAUUUUUAAGUCUUCCCUCCAAUUCGUAUUUAAAAGUCUUUCAAGACAGUUUAAAAAAUAUAUAUAUUUCUCCCUUGAGAAGUUUUGUUAUUUCCACAUUUGUUUUCAUCAGAAAAUCAAGCUAAAUUGAAAUACCAGAACCUCUUGUGAUUAUCUUUGCAUGCAUGCUAAGAUAUCUAAACUAAUCGCCUUCCCCCAAAAUUUUAGUUUUCUUUUCCUAAUAGAAAGGUGGCUGCUUCGCAAAUUUUAUUGAAAAUACAAUAUUACUAAGUCUAUAUUUACUGUGAAAUCAUUGUUUUGAUGGAAAACUCCUGUGCAUUGCUUGCUUCUGUCACAUACAUCAAUCCUGACCUGAGGAAAUCAUUAUUUAUAUAUGAUCAGAUCACCUUACUGUUCUGGWUAUAAGUCUGUAUACGUGUCUGCUUAGUGUGUUAUGUGCUGAUUCAAGGAUACUGAAGUGGGCUGCAGAUGUAUUUGAAAAUGAGAUAGAUGUCAAUAAGAGACCAUGCAGGAAGGCAAAUUAAGUAACAAAACCAAGUUAAAAAUGACUUAAGUCCCAGUGUCGAACAGAUGUGGUAAUACAAAACAAAUUGGUCUCUGUAUUUCUUUACUUCAUUACUGCAAAUGACUGUCAGGUUAGGGCUUUGUUUGACAAUUUGCCAGUUAUCCUGACCUUAUUUUCAUAGCUUUAUAAAAGUAAAAAAGCUGGUACUUAUCCCUUGCUAGAAGCUAUSUAAUACUAAUUUAAGACUUGUAAACUAACAGUAGUUCCACCAAGUAAAUAGCUGCUUGAUGUUAAACAGCUGUGAAGUGUGUGAAGGUGCUUUGCAACCUAGGAUAGUGGCCUGUUUUUUAAUACUCUUUUAAUAAUGAAAGCAUUUUCAAGUCAUUAUUAUGACAAGAAGUCAUGAGCUUUAUGUAAAAGUUGAUGAUCAUUGUUCUUAACUUAAAAAUGACAAUAUACACAUACAUGCACACACACCAAACAUGUGAACUACUCUAGGUUGGGAGAGUGCCUAUGUUUCCUAGAUAAAAAAUGGCAGUUUUCAGCAAAUUAUUUAAAAAUUUCUUCUAAAUGAAUGAGCUGGGUGUGAUAAUCCAAAUGGGAAAUGCUACUUGGUAGUGAGAAUAAAGUGGUCGGUAUGGUGAGGGGUAGACCAAGCUGCCUCACAGUGACUAAGCAUAGAUAAUGGGAGCUUAUAAACAUGGAAAUAGAAAUUUGUGAUGGGCCUCAUGGCUUACACGUGAACAGAGGAGCACAGGAGUGAUUCUCUUCCCUUAUUCAAUAAAACAUGUGCAUUUGCCUGUUGGAGGCCAGGCACCUGUGUUUGCUGACUCGUCUGCCCCACUGCUCUAUAUAGGUCAGGUUACCUAAACAGUGCCUGACUGCAGGACUGUCAGAUUUCUUGUGACCAGAGAACAUAUUUAGCCAAAUUUCAUAAAACAGCCUUUAUUGCCAAACAUGUCACUUUGGUAUUCUGUGCACUGUCUUCUCUGACUCCCAGGAACAAUAUUCUUUGAAAUCAGUGGCUUUUAAAAAAUAUUUACCUUAUAUUUGAAGACAUGAUUCAUAGGCUGGAAGAUGAAGAUCUAAGGUAGUUGCCAGAAAGAGAAGGGAAUGAAAGAGGUUUAUCCAUCAUUGUCAAUGAUACGCUAUUAGCAGUGUCCCUGGUGGAUUGUGAGAGUCUGUUUGGGAUGGAGAAGUUGAGUGAAGCUGCAAAUUAUUCACAGUGUUGCUAAAAGCAUGACCAAGAAAGCCAAUCUGACAGCCAAGCUUCUGUCUCCAGGCAUUUUUUUCUGAACAGAUGAUGGCCUGAGCAGCCAGCUGGACUAAUCUAGAUCCAGAUUUUCAAAAUUCAGGAGUUGUGAAUGUGAAGAUUAGUUAUGGCAUAUUAUUGCAAUAGGUUUAUUGGUAAGAUGACACUGGAGGUGGAUCAGGGACUGCCUCCACCUUUUCAAAAAAGAAUUGUUGGAAAAAAUCACAUGGGAAUAAUGACAGUGACUUCUUCAUCACCACGGGUGCCAGAGACUGCCUCACAUUUUGGUGAGGGAAGGCUCUCUGCCAGUGGCAGCAGUCUGGUAAAAU